GACGAACGCUGGCGGCGUGCUUAACACAUGCAAGUCGAACGGUGAAGCGCCUUCCUUUUUGGUGGGUGUGGAUGAGUGGCGAACGGGUGAGUAACACGUGAGUAACCUGCCCCCUUCUUCUGGAUAACCGCAUGAAAGUGUGGCUAAUACGGGAUAUUCUGGGUCUGUCGCAUGAUGGGUCUGGGAAAGAUAUUGUUUCGGUGGGGGAUGGGCUCGCGGCCUAUCAGCUUGUUGGUGGGGUGAUGGCCUACCAAGGCGGUGACGGGUAGCCGGCCUGAGAGGGUGGACGGUCACACUGGGACUGAGACACGGCCCAGACUCCUACGGGAGGCAGCAGUGGGGACUAUUGCACAAUGGGCGCAAGCCUGAUGCAGCGACGCCGCGUGAGGGAUGGAGGCCUUCGGGUUGUGAACCUCUUUCGCCAGUGAAGCAGGCCUGCCUCGUUUGUGGGUGGGUUGACGGUAGCUGGAUAAGAAGCGCCGGCUAACUACGUG
This 494-nucleotide ribosomal RNA is filed under the name uncultured bacterium. Its description in RNAcentral is "partial 16S ribosomal RNA". It matches the Rfam family "Bacterial small subunit ribosomal RNA", at positions 28 to 507 of the family's 1533-position model. The record is from RNAcentral.